CAUUCACGGAGAGUUUGAUCCUGGCUCAGGACGAACGCUGGCGGCGUGCUUAACACAUGCAAGUCGAACGAUGAAACCGCUUCGGUGGUGGAUUAGUGGCGAACGGGUGAGUAACACGUGGGCAAUCUGCCCUUCACUCUGGGACAAGCCCUGGAAACGGGGUCUAAUACCGGAUAACACUCUGUCCCGCAUGGGACGGGGUUGAAAGCUCCGGCGGUGAAGGAUGAGCCCGCGGCCUAUCAGCUUGUUGGUGGGGUAAUGGCCUACCAAGGCGACGACGGGUAGCCGGCCUGAGAGGGCGACCGGCCACACUGGGACUGAGACACGGCCCAGACUCCUACGGGAGGCAGCAGUGGGGAAUAUUGCACAAUGGGCGAAAGCCUGAUGCAGCGACGCCGCGUGAGGGAUGACGGCCUUCGGGUUGUAAACCUCUUUCAGCAGGGAAGAAGCGAAAGUGACGGUACCUGCAGAAGAAGCGCCGGCUAACUACGUGCCAGCAGCCGCGGUAAUACGUAGGGCGCAAGCGUUGUCCGGAAUUAUUGGGCGUAAAGAGCUCGUAGGCGGCUUGUCACGUCGGAUGUGAAAGCCCGGGGCUUAACCCCGGGUCUGCAUUCGAUACGGGCUAGCUAGAGUGUGGUAGGGGAGAUCGGAAUUCCUGGUGUAGCGGUGAAAUGCGCAGAUAUCAGGAGGAACACCGGUGGCGAAGGCGGAUCUCUGGGCCA
This 722-nucleotide ribosomal RNA is filed under the name Streptomyces sp. SID6648. Its description in RNAcentral is "bacterial SSU rRNA". It matches the Rfam family "Bacterial small subunit ribosomal RNA", at positions 1 to 736 of the family's 1533-position model. The record is from RNAcentral. Lineage: Bacteria; Bacillati; Actinomycetota; Actinomycetes; Kitasatosporales; Streptomycetaceae.